GAAUGGCUGAAUGCCGUGUACUUCCAUCAGUAAUUCACACAGCCAGAUGCCACGCAAAGCCGCAAAGCGGUCUUUCUUUAAGGCGACUGGCACACUGUUUUCUAUGGUAUAUCACAGUAAAAGUAAGUAGAAAG
This is a small nucleolar RNA of Mastomys coucha (southern multimammate mouse), 134 nucleotides long. RefSeq annotates it as small nucleolar RNA SNORA15. The record is from RefSeq and is a predicted model, not a curated record. NCBI's taxonomy places the organism in Eukaryota, Metazoa, Chordata, Mammalia, Rodentia, Muridae. The transcript has a single exon.